UACGAAGGGGGCUAGCGUUGUUCGGAAUCACUGGGCGUAAAGCGCACGUAGGCGGAUCUUUAAGUCAGGGGUGAAAUCCCGAGGCUCAACCUCGGAACUGCCUUUGAUACUGGGGAUCUCGAGUUCGGGAGAGGUGAGUGGAACUGCGAGUGUAGAGGUGAAAUUCGUAGAUAUUCGCAAGAACACCAGUGGCGAAGGCGGCUCACUGGCCCGAUACUGACGCUGAGGCACGAAAGCGUGGGGAGCAAACAGG
RNAcentral lists this ribosomal RNA (253 nucleotides) under uncultured bacterium. RNAcentral describes it as "partial 16S ribosomal RNA". It matches the Rfam family "Bacterial small subunit ribosomal RNA", at positions 524 to 776 of the family's 1533-position model. The record is from RNAcentral.